This 73-nucleotide transfer RNA is filed under the name Kingella kingae. RNAcentral's name for it is "tRNA-OTHER". The record is from RNAcentral. RNAcentral also lists the same sequence under 3 other names. Lineage: Bacteria; Pseudomonadati; Pseudomonadota; Betaproteobacteria; Neisseriales; Neisseriaceae.
GCAAGGGUAGUUUCCAACUGGUAACGGUUAUGGGCAACCAUAUUAUGCAGGUUCGAAUCCUGCCGCCCUUGCA